RNAcentral lists this ribosomal RNA (301 nucleotides) under uncultured bacterium. RNAcentral's name for it is "partial 16S ribosomal RNA". It matches the Rfam family "Bacterial small subunit ribosomal RNA", at positions 509 to 809 of the family's 1533-position model. The record is from RNAcentral.
CAGCAGCCACGGUAAUACGAAGGGUGCAAGCGUUACUCGGAAUUACUGGGCGUAAAGCGUGUGUAGGUGGUUGUUUAAGUCUGUCGUGAAAGCCCUGGGCUCAACCUGGGAAUUGCGAUGGACACUGGGCGACUAGAGUGCGGUAGAGGAUAGUGGAAUUUCCGGUGUAGCAGUGAAAUGCGUAGAGAUCGGAAGGAACAUCUGUGGCGAAGGCGACUAUCUGGGCCAACACUGACACUGAGACACGAAAGCGUGGGGAGCAAACAGGAUUAGAUACCCCCGUAGUCCCUGUCUCUUAUAA